UACGAAGGGUGCAAGCGUUAAUCGGAAUUACUGGGCGUAAAGCGCGCGUAGGUGGUUCGUUAAGUUAGGAGUGAAAGCCCCGGGCUCAACCUGGGAAUUGCUUCUAAAACUGGCGAGCUAGAGUAUGGUAGAGGGUGGUGGAAUUUCCUGUGUAGCGGUGAAAUGCGUAGAUAUAGGAAGGAACAUCAGUGGCGAAGGCGACCACCUGGACUGAUACCGACACUGAGGUGCGAAAGCGUGGGGAGCAAACAGGAUUAGAUACCCCGGUAGUCCCUGAGCGGG
This 282-nucleotide ribosomal RNA is filed under the name uncultured prokaryote. Its description in RNAcentral is "partial 16S ribosomal RNA". It matches the Rfam family "Bacterial small subunit ribosomal RNA", at positions 524 to 803 of the family's 1533-position model. The record is from RNAcentral.